Molecule: microRNA precursor, 187 nt
Filed under: Oryza meridionalis
Lineage: Eukaryota; Viridiplantae; Streptophyta; Magnoliopsida; Poales; Poaceae
Description: MIR812 microRNA precursor family
Rfam family: MIR812 microRNA precursor family
Source: Rfam by way of RNAcentral
GACGACCGCAGACUAACAUUUGACCGUCCGUAUUAUUUGAAAAAAAAACUAUGAUUAGUAUUUUUAUUGUUAUUAGAUGAUAAAAUAUGGAUAAUACUUUGUGUGACUAUUUUUCAAUUUUUUCAUAAAAUAUUAAAUAAGAUGGUCAGUCAAACGUUGGACAUGAAAACCUACAACUGCACUUAAA